UACGUAGGGUGCGAGCGUUAAUCGGAAUUACUGGGCGUAAAGCGUGCGCAGGCGGUUCUCCAAGUCCGUUGUGAAAGCCCCGGGCUCAACCUGGGAAUGGCAGUGGAAACUAGGGGACUGGAAUCUGGCAGAGGGGGGUGGAAUGCCGCGUGUAGCAGUGAAAUGCGUAGAGAUGCGGCGGAACACCGAUGGCGAAGGCAGCCCCCUGGGCUGAGACUGACGCUCAGGCACGAAAGCGUGGGGAGCAAACAGG
Molecule: ribosomal RNA, 253 nt
Filed under: uncultured bacterium
Lineage: Bacteria
Description: partial 16S ribosomal RNA
Rfam family: Bacterial small subunit ribosomal RNA
Source: RNAcentral